CUACCGCAGGUCCGGGUCUCACGUAGUGAGACAACGGAGCCGCUUGCGGCGACGGCCCGAAGGGCGAGCAAAGCGAGUCAUCCUGCACGACCCACCA
Molecule: small RNA, 97 nt
Filed under: Salmonella enterica subsp. enterica serovar Enteritidis
Lineage: Bacteria; Pseudomonadati; Pseudomonadota; Gammaproteobacteria; Enterobacterales; Enterobacteriaceae
Description: partial RtT sRNA
Rfam family: RtT RNA
About the family: This family represents a bacterial cis-regulatory element known as RtT RNA. The exact function of RtT is unknown although it is thought that it may be involved in changing the cellular response in relation to amino acid starvation.
Source: RNAcentral